This 538-nucleotide ribosomal RNA is filed under the name uncultured archaeon. Its description in RNAcentral is "bacterial SSU rRNA". It matches the Rfam family "Archaeal small subunit ribosomal RNA", at positions 460 to 997 of the family's 1478-position model. The record is from RNAcentral.
AGCCGCCGCGGUAACACCGGCGGCCCGAGUGGUGAUCGUGAUAUUGGGUCUAAAGGGUCCGUAGCCGGUUUGGUCAGUCCUCCGGGAAAUCUGAUAGCUCAACUAUUAGGCUUUCGGGGGAUACUGCCAGACUUGGAACCGGGAGAGGUAAGAGGUACUACAGGGGUAGGAGUGAAAUCUUGUAAUCCCUGUGGGACCACCUGUGGCGAAGGCGUCUUACCAGAACGGGUUCGACGGUGAGGGACGAAAGCUGGGGGCACGAACCGGAUUAGAUACCCGGGUAGUCCCAGCCGUAAACGAUGCUCGCUAGGUGUCAGGCAUGGCGCGACCGUGUCUGGUGCCGCAGGGAAGCCGUGAAGCGAGCCACCUGGGAAGUACGGCCGCAAGGCUGAAACUUAAAGGAAUUGGCGGGGGAGCACAACAACGGGUGGAAGCCUGCGGUUUAAUUGGACUCAACGCCGGACAACUCACCGGGGGCGACAGCAAUAUGUAGGCCAAGCUGAAGACUUUGCCUGAAUCGCUGAGAAGAGGUGCAUGG